This 253-nucleotide ribosomal RNA is filed under the name uncultured bacterium. RNAcentral's name for it is "partial 16S ribosomal RNA". It matches the Rfam family "Bacterial small subunit ribosomal RNA", at positions 524 to 776 of the family's 1533-position model. The record is from RNAcentral.
UACGUAGGGUGCAAGCGUUGUCCGGAAUUAUUGGGCGUAAAGAGCUCGUAGGCGGUUUGUCGCGUCGAAUGUGAAAACCCGGGGCUCAACCCCGGGCCUGCAUUCGAUACGGGCAGACUAGAGUUCGGUAGGGGAGUCUGGAAUUCCUGGUGUAGCGGUGAAAUGCGCAGAUAUCAGGAGGAAUACCGAUGGCGAAGGCAGGUCUCUGGGCUGACACUGACGCUGAGGCGCGAAAGCGUGGGGAGCAAACAGG